GCUUUAAUUAACCGACCCAAAGAGACCCCACUAAUUAACCGACAGGAACAACAAAUCUCUACAUGGGCCGACAAUUUAGGUUGGGGUGACCUCGGAGAAUAAAACAACCUCCGAGUGAUUUAAAUCUAGACUAACCAGUCGAAAGUAUUACAUCACUUAUUGAUCCAAAAACUUGAUCAACGGAACAAGUUACC
This 194-nucleotide ribosomal RNA is filed under the name Leopardus wiedii (margay). Its description in RNAcentral is "partial 16S ribosomal RNA". Lineage: Eukaryota; Metazoa; Chordata; Mammalia; Carnivora; Felidae. The record is from RNAcentral.